GUGGGGAAUCUUGCGCAAUGGGGGAAACCUUGACGCAGCAACGCCGCGUGGGUGAUGAAGGCCUUCGGGUCGUAAAGCCCUGUCAGGUGGGAAGAAACUUGUGGAUGUUAAUACCAUCCGCACUUGACGGUACCACCGGAGGAAGCACCGGCUAACUCCGUGCCAGCAGCCGCGGUAAUACGGAGGGUGCAAGCGUUGUUCGGAAUUAUUGGGCGUAAAGCGCGUGUAGGCGGUCAGGUAAGUCAGAUGUGAAAGCCUUCUGCUUAACAGAAGAAGUGCAUUUGAAACUGCUUGGCUAGAGUACGGGAGAGGAGAGUGGAAUUCCCGGUGUAGAGGUGAAAUUCGUAGAUAUCGGGAGGAACACCAGUGGCGAAGGCGGCUCUCUGGUCCGAUACUGACGCUGAGACGCGAAAGCGUGGGGAGCAAACAGGAUUAGA
RNAcentral lists this ribosomal RNA (437 nucleotides) under uncultured bacterium. RNAcentral's name for it is "bacterial SSU rRNA". It matches the Rfam family "Bacterial small subunit ribosomal RNA", at positions 354 to 782 of the family's 1533-position model. The record is from RNAcentral.